CUGGAAGCGGUCACCAUUAACAGUGUCCCUGAUAGUAAACAAAGCUCAUCACCCACCAAAGGAACUGCUCCCAUCCUAGGGAUCUUCGGAUGACACACGCAGGCCGCCUCUUCUUUUGUCAGAGUAUUUGCAAUGUCUAGAAUCACCAUAUCAUCCCAGAACAAAUGGGCGUCAAAUCUGGAGUCAACAGCGAGGCGGUAGAGCAAAACAAGACAUGACACGAGUAAGAGAGGUGGGGGGUUCAGAACUGUGGAAGCCUUUAUGUGGUAUGUUUCAGUGCGCUGGGAGCUGGACACCUAAACAAGAAAACAUACAGGAAUGUUGAUAAAACAAUGGCCUCUAUUGGACUUGGCACAAUUUAUCCUUGUUUCUUUCAUUUUGCAAUCAAA
Molecule: long non-coding RNA, 389 nt
Filed under: Equus caballus (horse)
Lineage: Eukaryota; Metazoa; Chordata; Mammalia; Perissodactyla; Equidae
Description: lncRNA (ENSECAG00000052411.1)
Source: RNAcentral